RNAcentral lists this ribosomal RNA (465 nucleotides) under uncultured bacterium. RNAcentral's name for it is "partial 16S ribosomal RNA". It matches the Rfam family "Bacterial small subunit ribosomal RNA", at positions 338 to 795 of the family's 1533-position model. The record is from RNAcentral.
CCUACGGGAGACAGCAGUGGGGAAUAUUGCGCAAUGGGCGAAAGCCUGACGCAGCGACGCCGCGUGAGGGAUGAAGGUCUUCGGAUCGUAAACUUCUGUUAGCAGGGAAGAAUGGUGACUGUGCUAAUCAGCAGAGCAUCGACGGUAUCCGCAACGGAAGCACCGGCUAACUGCGUGCCAGAAGCCGCGGUCAUACGGAGGGUGCGAGCGUUGAUCGGAAUUACUGGGCGUAAAGGGCUCGUAGGCGGGAAGUCAAGUCAGGUGUGAAAUCCCCGCGCUGAACGUGUGGACUGCCUUUGAAACUGGCAAACUGGAGUGAAGGAGAGGAUAGUGGAAUUCCAGGUGUAGGGGUGAAAUGCGUAGAUAUCUGGAGGAACAUCAGUGGCGAAGGCGACUAUCUGGCACAUAACUGACGCUGAGGAGCGAAAGCGUGGGUAGCAAACAGGAUUAGAUACCCGAGUAGUC